AGUGAACGCUGGCGGUAGGCCUAACACAUGCAAGUCGAACGGCAGCACAGGAGAGCUUGCUCUCUGGGUGGCGAGUGGCGGACGGGUGAGGAAUACAUCGGCAUCUACCUUUUCGUGGGGGAUAACGUAGGGAAACUUACGCUAAUACCGCAUACGACCUACGGGUGAAAGCAGGGGAUCUUCGGACCUUGCGCGAUUGAAUGAGCCGAUGUCGGAUUAGCUAGUUGGCGGGGUAAAGGCCCACCAAGGCGACGAUCCGUAGCUGGUCUGAGAGGAUGAUCAGCCACACUGGAACUGAGACACGGUCCAGACUCCUACGGGAGGCAGCAGUGGGGAAUAUUGGACAAUGGGCGCAAGCCUGAUCCAGCCAUACCGCGUGGGUGAAGAAGGCCUUCGGGUUGUAAAGCCCUUUUGUUGGGAAAGAAAUCCAGCUGGUUAAUACCCGGUUGGGAUGACGGUACCCAAAGAAUAAGCACCGACUAACUUCGUGCCAGCAGCCGCAGUAA
This 506-nucleotide ribosomal RNA is filed under the name uncultured bacterium. Its description in RNAcentral is "partial 16S ribosomal RNA". It matches the Rfam family "Bacterial small subunit ribosomal RNA", at positions 29 to 523 of the family's 1533-position model. The record is from RNAcentral.